This 545-nucleotide ribosomal RNA is filed under the name uncultured Ambispora. RNAcentral's name for it is "SSU rRNA". It matches the Rfam family "Eukaryotic small subunit ribosomal RNA", at positions 549 to 1098 of the family's 1831-position model. Lineage: Eukaryota; Fungi; Glomeromycota; Glomeromycetes; Archaeosporales; Ambisporaceae. The record is from RNAcentral.
UGGAGGGCAAGUCUGGUGCCAGCAGCCGCGGUAAUUCCAGCUCCAAUAGCGUAUAUUAAAGUUGUUGCAGUUAAAAAGCUCGUAGUUGAAUUUUAGGCCUGGCCGGGCGGUCCGUCUUUGGCGAGUACUGUCUGUUGUCGGGUCUUCCUUCUGGUGAACCAGUAUGUCCUUUAUUGGGUGUGUUGGGGAGCCAGGACCAUUACCUUGAAAAAAUUAGAGUGUUUAAAGCGGGCUAUUGCUUGAAUAGAUUAGCAUGGAAUAAUGAAAUAGGACGGCAUGGUUCUAUUUUGUUGGUUUCUAGGAUCACCGUAAUGAUUAAUAGGGAUAGUUGGGGGCAUUAGUAUUCAAUUGUCAGAGGUGAAAUUCUUGGAUUUAUUGAAGACUAACUAUUGCGGAAGCAUUUGCCAAGGAUGUUUUCAUUAAUCAAGAACGAAAGUUAGGGGAUCGAAGACGAUCAGAUACCGUCGUAGUCUUAACCAUAAACUAUGCCGACUAGGAAUCGGAAUUUGUUAUUAUAAUGACAAGUUCGGCGCCUUACGGGAAAC